RNAcentral lists this long non-coding RNA (2555 nucleotides) under Capsicum annuum. RNAcentral describes it as "long non-coding RNA (CANN_LNC006076)". The record is from RNAcentral. Lineage: Eukaryota; Viridiplantae; Streptophyta; Magnoliopsida; Solanales; Solanaceae.
UUUUUAUUGUAUAUCUCUGGUUGAUGGUACUCGUCGGAGCAGUGGCACCGUGAAAUUGGAGGUUGAUAAAGUUGUGGAUCUCAUCUGAGCUUGGAGCUCGUAGUAGUGGUGGUAUGGAUCGGAGAAGAUAAAAGAUUUCAACAGUUCAUCAUCGGUGCGUGAAGAUCGAAGAUAGAUCUGACAUAUACGUGGAGAUUGGGCGUGGUUGCCCCCUGAAGUAGAGUUGGUGCUUGGAUGACGGAGAGGUAGAUUCAGUCGAUGCUUGGAGAAAAAAGGUGGAGAGUGGUGAAGUGGUUAUCUAAAUUCACCAAGAAAAAAAAAUGGAAAAAGUAUGGUUGCCGAAAAAAAUAGGGAAAGUGGUGGUUGCCAAAUAACACAAAUUUGAACUCUCCAAAAAAGGAGGAAUGAUGGCUACUGUUGGUUUCAUGUAUCUUUAUAAUUUAUGCAUUGAAGAUGAGGGGUAAAAAUUAAAGGUAUUUGUGGUCCCUUGCAUUGACAGUGAGGGUAAAUUUAGUAUAAAAACAAAUAAUGGUAAAUGUAAGCUAUUUUGAAUAGUUGGGAUAGUUGGCCCUUUUCUAUAUAACAAUAAUGUGAGAAAAAUUAGAAUUUUAUAAAUAUGAUUCCACAUAUAGGAAUAUCAUUCUUCUCUUUUUUUUCUUCUAUAUACGGUCUUUUUUAGAUUUUUUAAGAUGAUCUUCUCGAAAAUCAUAAUCUUUUUUGCAAUGUAACAUUUAUGAUAAUUAUUUUCUAGUGUUUGUGCUAGCCACGUGCGGGGGCGGGAAUGUCCCAAGAGUUCAUUUGAACGUUCUUCGCUGGAAAAUUAUAAUUUAUAUAUGAUUAAAAUUAUUUUUAUGUAUAUAUAAUAGGUAUUGAAUCAUCUAUGAUUUUUUUCGAUAUGUGUAAUUCUUCAUAUUUUGAACUUCCUUAAUGGAACUUCCAGAUUUAGUGAACAAGACUCAACAUCUCUACCAAACCCCAGUGGAGGAGCCAGAAUUUUCAUUGAGGGAGUUCAGAAGUAAAUAUACGGAAUAGUAGAAGGGGGUUCAACAUCUACAUAUAUACAUAAAAAUAUUUUUAAUCAUGUUAAAAUAAUAUAAUUUUUCAACGAACGGGGUGAACCCUUUAAUUCAAUGUGAUUCCGCGACUGCCAAACCCGCCUUGGAUUUUACUUUCUCCAAUGAAAAACACAUCAACAUGAACAUUGAAGGAAGGUGAGGAGAAUAGUUAUUAAUUGGAGAAAGAGGAAAAAGGUAAAGAAAAACCUUUGCGAGCUAAAAAUAACACCCUUAUCAUCAAAUUCACCUCCAGAAAGAUUAAUGAUCCACAUAACACGCAACAGAACACUCGAUUGAAGAUUGCACUCAACGGCGAUAUUAAAAGAUGAACAGAAAGAGAACUUAGAUUAGGAAGCCCUAUAGUGUGCUUAGGUUUUUAUUUCAGUCUGAUCUGAUUAUGCUUUGAAUCUUUGCUUUUUUCAUUUCAAUUAUGGGCUCUGAGUCUAUGUUGUACAGACUCUACUUAUUUUCUUAAUAAAAAGGCCAAAAGCCCAAAUUUUAUUUUAUUUUUAUAAAAACAAAAAAUAGAGGAUUAGGAGGACUAGGUGUUGAUAGAGACGACAACAACGAUGAUUAAAUCAAACUAGAAGAAGGAUGAUGAAGUAAUAGACCUAUCCAAAAAAGCAAUCUACUUAAUUAGGAUAAGAGUAGAUCUCCACUAAUAAAAUUCUCGAUUAAAACCUACACUACUUUGCAUCGAUCGGUGCAUAAAGCCGAUCUAAAAGGAAAAAAGAAGAAGAAGGUGGUGUCUUUCACUGAAUCUAAUAAAGAUGGGGGUUAUGGCCAAAUCUGUAGAAGGAGGAGGUAGUGAUUGUGGUGGCAGCGACAACGACAACUACUAUGGUUCAGUUAGAAGAGUAAAAGAAGGAGGUGGCCGAUGAUAAUCGAAUCUGAAAAAGAAGAUGGUUGUUUAAUCUCAAGAAAAAGAAAGUGGUGGUGGCACCGGUGGCGGCGUUGAUUCAAUUAGAAAAAUGAUGAAGGAAGAGGUAGUAGUGGUGGCGAUAUAAAAGAAGUAACGAUUAUUAGUGAUGAUUUGAAAAAUGAGGAGGCAAUUGGAGGAGGUGGAGCUGAGGCAGCUAGAGAACAAAACAAAAAAAAGGAAAAAUGUCGAAAAUAUAGAAGGUUGUGCACCUAAUUAUGAAAUAUACCGAGGUAAUUGCCCAGACACACAAUACAAAUUUUGACUGUAUCUGAGAGACACAGAUACACCCAAAAUUUAUAUUGUGUAUCUCUAGUUGAUGGUACUUGACUACUCAUCGGAGCAGUGGUGCCGUGAGAUUGGAGGUUGAUAAAAUUGUGGAUUUCGUCUGAGCUUGGAGCUCGUAAUAGUGGUGGUAUGGAUUGGAAGAAGAUAAUAGAUUUCAAUAGUUCACCAUCGGUGCAUGAAGAUUGAAGGUAUAUCUGACAUAUGUGUGGAGAUUGGGCGUGAUUGCUGGCCGAAGUAGAGAAGAGAAGAGAAGAGGAGAAGCAAAUGUUUGGGUGUUGUUGAUAGCAGUGGUG